This is a non-coding RNA of Xyrichtys novacula (pearly razorfish), 18381 nucleotides long. Lineage: Eukaryota; Metazoa; Chordata; Actinopteri; Labriformes; Labridae. The record is from the annotation of a GenBank genome assembly.
ACCUGAUCCGGUAUGAUGGCGUGAAUGGACGACCGGCAGGUAAGUGGAGAGAUUAAUAUCUGUGUGAAUGUUUGUUUAAGUUAACUGAUAGAGCUCAUAUUGUGCAAUCUUGGUUACCCUAUCAAACAGAAAAGGAGAAGUAUCCCUGUUUAGUGGGUGAAUAGGGAGGGAAAUGUUUGGCGUGUAUGUGGGUUUGUUUGUGUCCAUGCGCAGCCCGCAGUCAGCGAGGACGCCGCUCCGUCGCACCCGCUAAACGUUAAAACUGCGGUAAUAUUUCUGAUGUUAAAAUAGUUGUAAUAUUUCCACAUUCAUUGACAAAAAUGGCUCAAGGGAUGGAAAGUUGGGAUGACCGUUUUAGAAGGGGGAUGAUUUUGAACAUUUGUAAUGGUAAUAAUGCAAUGGUGACAAGAAUUUAUAAUUACUUUUUUGGAGGGACAUCGUAGAUAACAUAUUAAAUUAGUUUUACGAGUCAAGUGUUUAAAAGGUCUUUCUUUGUGGGACGUUCAAAACAUCCAGAAUCGUUUGCCACCAUUCUUGUUCAAUAUUCCCUUCUUCUUAAUAAAAAACUUCCAAGCUUUUAAAAAGUACUUGAACGCACCAUCGAUCUGCUGCGUCAGUGGUGUUUUGCGUCAUCACGUCCUCUGGCUGAUCCUGUUAGCUGGAGGAAAAACAGCUCCUGUCUGUCUGCUGGGAGCGAGGAAGAACUUAGUGUUAAACUAAUUAUCUGUUUGUUGUCUGCAGUCUGAGUCACUCUGAAUAAAGUCACGGGAGCAUUUUUGACAGUAUUUGUCAUAAAAAGCCUUAAAAAAAAUUAUCUUAUAAUACAAAGUUCCGUCAAAAAGUUUAUUAUCCUCCAGUACAGCUGGCUUCACGGCCUAUAAGUCAUUCAUUGUGUCAUUUUCAAGCAAAUAAAAUAGCUAACACACUCUGUAUAAUGGGCUCAAAUGAGUUGUCGGUGUGUCUGUAUCACCUUCAUAUGGUGUCCUCUCUCCAUGGAACAGUUUUUAAUCAGUGUUUUGGGUGCAGUAACAGACUGUGUUCACAGAUAAUAGUUUAUGGAUGACAUCCAAGUGACUCCCACUGCAGAGUCAGGUCUGUUUUUCAUGCAGCGCUGCCAGAGGGGCUGAAGAUCAUCACUAAUCUGUAUUUGUCUUUGGCCUUGUCCCUCCUGUACAGAGUUUCCUCACGAGUCUCUGAACCUUUUGAUAAUUUUAUUUAUUAUAAUUGAAGAAAUCCUUCAGCGCUCUCCAGUUUUACACCAAGUGCGCUCAGUGAAAAUGUAUUUUUUUGGCCUAUCUCAAUGGCCUCUCUCACACACAAAAACGACAACAAAAAAGUAAAUUCUGACCAGAAGACUUUGUGACGUGGAGUCAAAACCAGCAGGCAGGUUUAAAGGGACCUUGAGUGGUUUUUUUGUUUGUUUGGUCAGCUGUUCUGAAUCGCCAUCUCUUUUUCUUCUCUGUUUUUGAGAGUGUUUGUGUUUCCUGUCAUGAGGUCAAAGUGUUGAACGCAGCUGUUCUGCAGAGGUCAAUGUCUCCAGUCAAGUCAAGUUUUUUUGUUUCUAUGGAAACACGAGUAUGAAGACAAUUAUUAGAUAUUAGAUAAAGACUUUCCAAUUCUGCUGAUGAUGACCAUCGUCUGUCUUUUUUAAGACAGAGGUUCUCAACUGGUGGGUCCGAACCCAAAAGUGGGACACGUUCUGGAUGGGUUGCAAACAGCUGAUGUUUGACAUGUCUUUUAUUUUGAAAAAUAGGUUAUUUUGUGCAAUUUGGUAUUUGAUAUUUUCUGUAUAUGCAGCUUUAAUAAUUGUUGUCCCUUGAUGGACACCACAAACAAGCGGGCUGGUUCAAAGUGCUGCAGAACCAGGAGAAGACAGCAAAACCUCCCCUGUAUUAGCUUCUGUACACUGGUUUCCUAUUAAAUUUAGGGCAGAAUUGAUCAUUCUUCUGACCUCCACCACCUUCAUGUCUAAAAGAGUUCUUCCUGUGGCCAAAACAAAGGAAAUGGACACCUUCAAAAUAAAAGUAGACAUUAAAACAGCAGCAAAAUAAAUGACAUUGAAAAAUAACUUACUUGCAGCAGACAGUUCUGGAUACUGCUCUAUAAAUUCAGUCAUACUUGCAGUAAUUUAUUAUAGAACUUAUUCCUGUUUAUUGCAUUUAUUCCUGUUUUAUAGAUGAAAACAAAGUGAAGUGUGACUGAAUCAAAUCAAAUUCUUUGGGCUGAUCUUUUUUGGCUUUUAAUUGCAGCUAGUUUUGAAGAUAUUUUCAUGUUUUUCAGACAUUCUCCAGGUUACAUGCUGCUUCUUUUUUUGUUGUUCCUGUAGUUCCUCCCGUUGGACAGCAGAGGACGCUGUUGAUACAUACACCGCUCUGGCUGUGAAGUUUCUGUAAAGACCGUCCUGUUUCAGAUGUCAGUCAGGUAAUAAAUUCUCACUGUUUGUUGGUAUGUUGAGUUAAACUUGACUGUGCAAACCCUAAAACAGUUUUCCCACAAGAAGCAAUAAAAACAUUUUUGUAAACACUUUUUAAAUGGAAAAUCUAAUUUUACUGGAUGUUUCCCUUUAAUUGGAAGUCUGAUCAGUCUGUUAGUUUUCACUAGUGUGAUAUUUAAUAUUUUGCACAUGGUAAGUGGAUGUGAAACGAAAACAAGCUUCAUUAACCUGAGAGGACAAGACAAAGAAGUCAGUCAGGGGAAGCAGCAGUAAAAAAAUAAAACAGGAGAGCGUGUUGUGAUCGUGAUGACACAAGGACCGCCACAGUUGAAGUCCAUGAACCAUCUGAGAACAGCUUCUUCAGCAAUGACCUUUUCAGUCUCACCCUCCUUGUGCAGGGUGUCACUUUUUGUGCUGAGUUACUGAAAUAAAUCAACUCUUUGAGAUAUUCUGAUUCACUGAGACACACCUGUAUAUAGAAAACAGAUGAGGAGGCCUUAGCCCCGCCCCUUUUUUGAUGCACGAUGACAGCCCCUCCAGCUGCGCCCGCUCAGGUGAUCGAAAAUGAACGAUAGGUGAGGCGGCGGAGCAGCUGUCCCACGGAGGAUCUGGUAACAGCUCGGGUUCGGUGUCAGAGCAGAGAGUAAAUCACGUAGUUUAGAGGGAUUCACUGACACACCCACCGCCAUACCACACAUGUGUGCAUGCACACACAUUAACACAUGCACUCAAACACACAUGCAGUCUACAAACACCAGCAUUAAUAAGCAUAUAUAAGUAUAAACCAUAUUCCAAUAUUCAGUCUGUUUUUAUGUUAUUAACCUCAGGUGGAGAGCUCUCAGCACAGAGUGACGCUUUAUUUUAUUAUUCAGUAAACAUGUUACUACAACAUAAUAACACAAAUAAAGCUGUGAACAAACACUCUUUACUCUGCGAAGGAGUAUUUGGAUCUGUUUUAUUAUAACUAUUUUUCUUAUGUGAAUAAAGUUGUAGUCAAAUCAUUUUAUAAUCAGAAUACAGACAUGAAUGACUUAGUCACAACUCUUAGGUCUUAGUAAAGUCAUUUCCUUUCUAGAGGUAAAUUUAACUAUCAUCAUGAUAUGAGUACUAAGUCAUAAAGAGCAUAUGAUCAUAAUUGAAUCACAGUCUUGCAAGAAUAAAGUCUUUGCAAAAUAUUUUUUAAAGAUCAUAGAUCUUGUGAAUCAAGAAUUAAAUAGUAGCAGAGUCAUAAUUGAGAAUUAAGUUGCAGUAAAUCAAAUGUAAAGGUCUUAAAAACUGUUUUCUUGCAGGAAGUUGUAAAAAUAUUUUUUUAAUGAGGUUGAAGUUCUUUAAAAAUCAUUUAAUUACAAGAAGGUCAAAUCAUGAGAAUCAGGAGGUACUUGUAUUAUUUUGUCACAUAAAAUCUCUUGAUUUAAAAAGUAAAGACAAAAUUGUUUAAUUUUUCAAGAACAUAGUUGUUGUGAAAUAAUAAAGUUGUAGUAUCUUUGUAACUGAAGAACUGUAAGUACGACUUAAAACUCAUGAGAAAAGACUAUUUUUCCUAUUUUAUACCAGUUUGUAAACACAUUUAUUUCCACUGUAAAAAUCAUUAAUUUGAUAUGAGGCUCUAUAGAGAUUCACUCACUUUCGGACUCAGCCCCAAGUGGACACUGAAGGAACUGCAUAUUUUUUUGGUUGCAUUUCCACCAGGGCUUCAAUUUUGAACCCUGGAGGUCGCUGCUUUGAUUUAACAUAAGAUUUAUGCAAAAUGUCGACACAAGCUGAAUUAUCAAACUAAAGCUGAAUGAUGCAAACAGGCAGGUUUAUGUUUUUACAGGAAUUUUUUUGCAUAUUUUUCAAUGACUUCAGAAAAGAUAAUGUUUUUCAUAUGAGCUCUUCUUUUAGGAUUAAAAAAUUUGAUUAGGAUUAUUGAAACUGCACCAGUUUUUGUAAAUUUACAGCAAUUAAAAUGUUUGUAAAAUCAGAUUUUAAACAGGGAAUAAAGAUCACUCUUAAGUGAGAUUUUUCUAAAACCAAAACUAAACGACUACGAGUCGUAAAAACACCUUCAGCUGCAGAGAUAACCUUUAUUUUUAACACGACGACACGCUGCUUUGAAGCUGAGUAAUGACAUGUGAAUGUUGCCCAAUCAGAGCUCCCCGCCACGUUGUGUAAGUCACUUCUGCACAUGCUCAGUGCGACCCCUCCCCCAGCUGUGACCCCAGUUGUACAUAGCUGUGACACCUGAGUUGUGUGACACUGAGUGUGACUUGCAGGAUCAUCACUGGGGCUCGUCUUGACACCUACACCGGGGUCAGAGGUCAGGCGGUGUCCAUCGCAGCAUGACGGUUACAUAACCUUUUCCCGCAUGCACACGUAAACAGUUCCUGAUCAUUUGAAGAGCAGAUUUAUGUUUCUGAGAGCUUCACUUCAUCGAGAUUUGUUUGACUGACUCACCAGCUGUGACGGAUACAGAUGCAAUAAUGGGAUACACACAGUUUGUUUUAAGUAUCUUUGAUGGAGUGAAAAACACGAGACAUGUGCUUUAAGAUUAAAUGAGAAGAUAAACGACGCAAAAAUGAAGCUACUGAGUCUAAUCCAGAGGAAAAUAAAAGAAGAGAAAACAACUUUAGAGACAAACUUUGUUUCUGUGAUUUUAAAGACUUUUUAUUCCCGCUAAAUGACUCUCUAUUUUUUUGGAGCAAGCCUCUAGUGGCCAAUAAUGGAACUGCACUGUAGGUUAUUCUCCUUUUUUAAGUAAAAAUAAAACAGAAACACAAUAUGUAACAUUUUUACCUGGUUAUUAUGGCCUUUUUUUCAACAUUUAUGAUAAAUCCAUAUACAUCUACCUAUCAUAUCUAUGCGUGUAGCAACCAGCGAAAAAGCACCACUACGACUCGAUUGGCCACUUUGCUGCUGAGCUCUCACUGGUUACCAUCACAGAUUAGAACAUUUUGUGCAGGAUAGAAAGAAAGAAAAUCUCCUGAGACAAGAUAUUGUUAUUGGACAAGAUAAAACCACCAGUUUCUAAGGCUGUAAGGUCCAAAAACCCAGAGAUAGUCAGGAUGACGACCAAGCUGUAGUUUGACCUCAAGAUAACACCAACAUUUGGAGUUGAUUUUUCCCACCAACAACCAGAGGAGUCAAUAUCAAAAGAAGGAAAUAACAUUGUAUUUUUCUCCAUAUCUGAAUUUCAUCACAGUUAUUUUAAAGAAACUGUUUCAGGACGUCGUUGAAGAAGUUUGUCGUAAAUCUGUGCUCUUCACUCUGGAUGGUUUUUUUCUUCUCUGGUGGACGGUGGAUUUUCUCCGCAGUAUCUCAAACAGCUGCUGAGCUUUCAAAGUCCAGUCCAUCAUCCUCAGCCUCAUGUUAACACACCAGCACACGCAUGACCACUGCUGUGUGUGUGUGUGUGUGUGUGUGUGUGUGUGUGUGUGUGUGUGUGUGUGUGUGUGUGUGUGUCUGAUAUGAUGGGCUUAACUGGCCCUGCAGAGCAACAAUGGUCGUAUUGAGGGGGACGUUGCCCCGCGUGGCCCGGCGUGGAUGGAGGGUUAUGGAGGGUUUUGUUGUGGGGGUUCACGGGGUUGUUUUUUUGGGGGGGUUGUUAUGCACGGAGACCCUGAGCCCUGCAGCUGUCGCCUGGCACGCUCCGGCCUCAGGGAGAACCGACAGCUCACGUCAGUGCCAAGUGUCCUGGUGCGGCCGAUGGCGUGGGCCUCUGUCAUCGUGGGGCAUCUGGAGGGGGGUGGGUAACGACCACCACUGCACCAGCACCUUCCAGCUCCACACAGACCCCUCCCUCCCUCCCUCCCUCACCCAUGAGGCUGCAUGUCACCCAGCUGCUUCGCCCUCCGAAGGAACGUGUCGCAGUUUGAGCGUCAGGCCGAUUACAGCGCUCCUGGAGUCCGAGCGUCAGAACCAGCAGCUGUCAAUCUUAACCACAAAGAGGGGACUCAUGGACGGGCUGGUUUACAAGAAAAACUCGCUUCAAACUCAGACGAACUUCAACGUUUUCCCUGUUUUUUACAUUUUGUAUUUGAUCAAAUAUUUUCCUGUGUGUGAAAGUUUUUUUGCCUCGUUGAAAUUUUAGUUUCAUCAUUUAAAAACUCGGGCUGAGACUCGAUUUAGAAAAUUAAUCUAAUCAAUCAGAGCCUUUGCAAUUAAUUAAUCGCAAUUAAUCAGGUGAGCCAGAGAGUUUGUUAAUUUUUCUGACAUGGACUAACCGGCAAUUUCCACCACAUCUGGAACAGCUACGAAAUGGUCGUAUCAACCGAUUGAUGCUGAUCGUAACCAUUCAAGUUAACGUGUCAAUUUCCACCGGCUUCUUUCCGUUCCUCUGCUGAUCACAAGAAAUCUAUUUACGUCAAAAGCAUGCUGGAUAAAGUCUGCACAGAUUAACCCGUGCUGGAAAGGAAGUCGGGCACAGACACAAAAUAAAACAUCCGGCUUCUUUUCAAAAUAAAACACUCUGUGUUUCAGGAGGAUCGUAUUUCACACCAUGCAAACGGGCGGAGACGAACAAGUGAAAGGUUUUUAGACGUCAUUUCACCCCGAUGACACCAUGGAUGAGGAGAUGCUGAUUCUAGAAGUCUAGAAGUAGAUUUCCUCCUCUGGAAGGACACAAUCUACUGCUUACAUGGUUAGCCUCUGUGGCUAACGUGAAUCCAUGGGUUCUUGUGAGUUCUCAUAAUUCCUGCCGUCUGAAAUCCACCAUGAAAUUCGCCUCACAAACGGACCCUGUAGGAAUUGGCAUACGGUGAAAAUUACAGCCGUUCCAGAUGCAGUGGAAAUUCCGGGUUACUGGGUUGGUUGUGGGUCGCUAUACUCAGAGUCGGACUAACGUUAGCUUCCAUGCUAGCUGCAACAUGUUUAGCAUCCAGGUGAUUCUGGAGGCUUGAUGUGCUGCAAUGACAACGACAAAUUCUUUUUCACGUAGUUUUCAUGCCCAUCCACGCUGGAGCCAAUCAAAGCAGAUUCAUCGGCGACUUCGUUCAUUUUUCAUUUUUAUUAUUUUUAACGAGAUCACAUUACUGUAAUUAAUUAAUCGGAGUUAAGCCCCAUUAAAAACCCAAACUGUUAAAUCUGUCAUUAUUUCAAUAGCAGAACAUCUAUCAGGCUGAAACAAAAACACGUCUUUAAUAGGUGAGAGGAAAUCCAAAUCUGUGUUUGUGGAUUAAAAUAUAAACGUUUAAAUACAUAAAGAUGUAAUCCACGUAUGUGUGAGGGUAAAGAGAGGAAACAUUAAACCAUUAAACCAGUAAAACAUGAGCUCUGGGUCACUGUGCUCUUAAUCCUGUCCAGACUGGUUCCUGACUGGAUUUACCCUGCUCACACACACACACACACACACACACACACACACACACACACACACACACACACACACACACACACACACACACACACACACACACACACACACUGAGCUUUACUGAGGUGGCAGAUAAAAAUAACUGUGGAGUCAGGUUGAGUCACUUUUAUUUAGAGGAAUCACAUCGACACGACGCACACAAACAAAAGACGUAGAGAGCAGAGUCAGUUUGAAACCAUGAAACCAUGAAACCAGUAAACACAUCGAAGUUUUUAUCGUCCUGAAAACACGACUGAAGGUCUGACCCUGAAACCGAACCAAGAGACCCUGGAACAACGUGUGAAAAGACUUAAGAGUCCAGACUACUUUACAACCACAAGUCCAGACUUUGAGGACCGGAUCUGAGGAGGAUAGUUUUGAGAAGUCUCUCUUCUCUAUGUGACUCUUUCAUCAUCCUUCACAGACCUCAAAAGUACCUAAAAAUAAGAACUGGUGUUUGCCGACCUGUGAAUAGGAACAGUUCAGAGAAUUUUAUGGCUGAACAAGAGGAUGAGACCCCCACCUGACAGAGUAGAGUCCCCUUCCACUUCUUGAAGAUAAACACUUUUUUAAACCGUUUUUAACAGUUCUUGGCACUUACUCAUGCUGUCCUCUACUGCCCCGGUAAUCUCCAUGUGAUGUACGAACUCUCAAAUCUACGUCACUUUGGGCUAAAGUGUCUGUUAAAUAUUAUUGUAGCAUUGUGAUGCCGUAAAGGUCGUCACACACCGGCGAAUUAACGAAGAGAUGCAAAAAAGUGACACGAAAAUGCAAAAGAUUCGGCUUACAUGACACGAAUAAAAUUGGCAUAAAAAUGGGAGAGAAGAAGGAGAAACAAAUGAGGACUACAUCCUCAAGUGAUGAUGAUCUGGUCAUGAAUGUAAGAUCAUUAAAUAAAAAUAAAAAGAAGAAUCUGAGCGUCUGGGUACAUCCAAUACUGACCUUGUGACAGGAGAUGGGGGAGUUUAACACAACGAUCCAGGAGCUGAAAAUGUAUCCUGAGAAUUUCGGACAAUACUUCAGACAAUUUGAAGAACCGCUCCAUGAGCUGACUCCAUGUUUGCAGAAGGACAAAUUACAGAGAGCCGAUUGAUCCAAAGCAACGACUCACCACAUGUCUGAAGUAAUAUUUAUAAUAGGCUUUAGAUUUACACAGCAGUUCACCUGCAAAUGUUCGAAAAAUUCACUACAGGGAUGAAAAAAUGACAGUUCCUUUUUCUCUCUGCGGAGGUUUGUAGCCGGUGUGGGAGCUUGCUUUGACUUUAUGAGUUUUUAAAAAAACCUAAAUAUUCACUUCGAAAAUUCGCUUCACUUAUUCGCCCGUGUGUAACGACCUUAAGAGAGGAAACGCAGUGAGCAUGAUGAAGCUCAGCUCAACAGUUAUUUUUGCAGAAGUCUGAUUCUGCAGGUUUGUCUUUGAAGAAGAUUGCAGCAGUAAAAACAUGUGGAGGUAUUAAACUGCGUAUGUUUAAUAAAAUACUCCUGAAGAGUUUCGAACAUAAAAAGCUUCAGUGAAAUUCUUGCAAAAUAAAACUUCACAUAUGAUUUUUUACUUCUGCAGUUUAUCAGUUUGAUUCAUUCAUUUACCCUUUGCAUCCAAAAAACUGAUCCAGUUUUACUCCUUUACAGGAUUUUAGACAUUUUAGAUGUUUCCUCCUCCGUCUGUAUCAGUGCAUCACAAAAGGACAAUAAAAAUACAGAAGAAACAGAGUAAAGUAAAGAAAUAGAAAGACCAGAGGAGAUCUCUCUCUCUGCGUACAGGACCUCUUCAGUCUUGUUGUCGUGGUCGUUGGCCUUUUGCACAUGCUCCUCGGCUUACUGGCUGAACCCUCCACCUAUUACAUCACCGGCGUUCGUAUCGUGUUGCUCAAAAGUUGAAAUAUUCGCGGUGACAUCUGCUCAAUUAAAAACCCAGGCCUGGUCUCUCUGUGCCAAACCACGAGUGCAGAGGUUUAAACCGCGUCCCUCCUCCUCCUCCUCCUCGUCUCGCUGCUGCAUCACGUCUUGUUCUCUGUUCGGCUGCAGAGAAACGCUCGGCUCACAGUUGGUUUAUUAUUUAUCUGCCGGCGGCGGCGGCGGGCCAACAGUUGCUCUUCAGCCUCUUGUUCUCUCUGAAGCCUGAGCUCCCACCACCUGCAGCUGUCACUUCACCGCAGCGCUGCUCUGACUGGACUUUUACAAACUCUUCAUUUACUGUUUCAAAUCCUCCUCUACGGGGUCUGACAGGGUUCAAGAGAAACUUCUGUGAACUUUCUGAGCAGGAGUUCACGUCAAAUUUGUUUCCACAGUGACCUGAAGUUGAUCAAAAGUUUAGUUUCUCUGGUAGACGCAGUAAGUUCAGGGGGCUGCGAGCUGAGCUGCUGCUCAUGUUGUCUCUGUUUCAAAGCUCUGGAUGCUUCAAACCGGUUUCUUCUGGAAGUCCUGAACUCAGAGAAGAAUCCGGCAGAUAGAAACACAGACUAAAUUAGUUUUAUUUAUUUGUUUAUGCAGGAUACACUUCCUUGAAACAGAGUUUUCUCUUUUUGGGGCUUUCAGAGCAACAUGAAAAUGGUCCACGAGGGUUUUUUAGAGUCUGCUUGGUCUGACAGGACCUCCACUCCUCCUUCUCUUUAUUUCUGUCUCUUCGAUCUGGAUGUUAGUUUUUGGUUCUGGACCUAAAGACUGUUACACAAACUUCGAUCUCACUCAUUCCUACCACUGUGAUGCUGAGGUAUUUUACUCGAUAAUGACGAAAGAUCAAAACUCCAAACUUUCAUGGUAAGAUGGAUCACAAACAACUUGAGGCAGAUCAAAUGGCUUUAGUAAAUCUGAAUUGAUCCGUGGAUUUUUGAGGAUAUACUAAAUUUGGAUUAGAUCUGUCCUAAUGGGCCGACUCUUGGACUGGUUUGGUGCAAACUAACGGGUAAACUUUGAUCGAGGUUAACGUCUUUGUUGAUGCUUUUUGAUGAACUGUGAGCACAUCUGCAGAACAGCGGCUGUUGCUUGAAUUAUGGAGGUAAGAUCGGACUCUGAGGUUGUUUAUUAGAUUUGUUGAAACCAGGAAAAAUACAUGAUGUUUGGAUACCAAACCGUGUUCUUGUUCCUGGACGAGUAUUUGGACAGCAAAGGUCGCUCCACGAUGAGUUUUAACGCCCGUGACUGCAGCAGUUGUUCGUCUGUUAAAACUUAAACAUCAUCACAGAGACGCCGUCUCCCCCUCAGCCGUCUACCUGAUCCUCAUAUCCACCUCUGUAAAGCCUCCAAACAGACUGGCAGUUAAGAUCAGGGGCCCUUCAUCGGACUGACACUGCUGGCCCUCCGUCUCCCUGUGAGGUCCCUGUAAACUCGCCCUCGUGGCGGCCCGUGGCGCUGCCACUUGCCUUUCACGUUAAAACACUUGUUAAAAAGCCUGUUAUCUUUGGACGGCGUGGCGCUCAGAGAAAACAACACCUCACAAACACACAUUUACAGUCGCACACACUCACACACACACACACACAGAUGGUUUUCCACUCUGAGGCUGGAGCUCGAUAAACAAAUCCAGCAGAAAACAAAGAGGUCUGACUGCAGGUCCUCCCCCAGAUGCAGUUUCAUUCACCUGUUAAAGGAAGCGAGGGGUCGGGUCGUGUUACAGCGGGUCACAUACUGUCUUUACAUCGUCACUGAGACUCUUCUUCUUCUGUGGUGUUUUUGGCUUUAAUGGAAGUUUACAAAGACAAAUCAGGAGAAACCCACAUGUGUACGAAUAAAGUUCUGUGGUUUUGAAGCGUAAAGAGGCAGGAGUCCCUGACCACACGCGGUUUGUGUUUUUACAGCAGGUAUGAGGCUGAAUCAGAGAUGAUUCAGACGCACAGUUAAGAUGUUUCUGGUGUUUGUCAGAGUCUGAAUGUGAAAACCAGAUUCUGAAGAGAUCUUCAGCUAUGUUUGAAAUUCAGCACACAUGCAGAACAUCUGUCUGCUGCUGCUCUAUACGGCUAAAUACGACCAGAGCAGAAAGAUAAAAGCUGCAAGUGGUGAUGGAAGAGCCUUUGCGAUUUUCGCCAUAUGCCAAUUCCUACCAGAUCCGUUUGUGAGGCGAAUUUCAUGGCGGAAUACAGACAGCAGGAAUCGUGAGAACUCGCAAGAACCCGCGGAUUCACGUGCGAUAUCGCCAUAACAAGUUGUCUCUUAGCCACAGAGGGUAACCAUAUAAGCAGUAGAUUGUGUCCUUCCAGAGGAGGAAAUCUACUUCUAGACUUCUACAAUCAGCACCCUCAUCCAUCAUCUGAAAACCUUUCACUUGUUCGUCCCCGCCCGAAUGGAAUGAAGCCGAUGGAAAUUGACACGUUAACUUGAAUGGUUCCGAUCAGCUACGAUCGGUGGAUACGACCUUUUCGUAGCCGUUCUGGAUACGGUGGAAAUUGGGGUUAGCGUGUGCAGAUAAAGUCUUGGACACCAUGACUCGUGAAUGCGACGCUUUCAGAAACUUUUGACUUUCAAUAUCAUGAACAUGACAAGAUGUGCAUUUUCAUACAGGUAAACAAAGGCCCCAUCGUACUUCAAAAUAAAAGCAUCGUUUUACAGAGCAGGAAACAGAACAACCUAAAAUCAAGACAGACAAAAUUACACAAUAAAAGCAUCACAAGAGUCUCCGUCACAGAGCUGAUGAUGUGGAUAAAUUAUAGAUUUGUCUGAUUGUGUUGUUUUUUUUUAUUUUGAAGUUGUCCAGAUAACCACGAGUUAAAAAUCUGGUUUUGUGGAUGGCCUAGUGAGUACCAUGUCCUCCUGAAGGUGGCGCUGUGAGUGGAGUCGAGAAAUAAGGAAAUAAAAGUGUUUAGAGGUGGAUCAGGAUCAUGUCUGUGAAAUAUCGACCACAAUGAAGACUGGAUAAAAGAGAAAAGUUGACUUCCUGUUUCAUAGUGAGCUCUUACCACCACAUCUAUUUGAGAAGGUUUAGAGGGCGCUGUUGCAAUCUGAUCCAUCCCAGGAACCCGAUUUGUAUUGCACAUGUGCGAAACGUACUUCACUUAUGAAAUUCACGUCACCUGUCCCAAACCGCUAGGGGCAAAGAUGCUGAGCUGUCGCAAUAAUGGCUAGGAGAGGAAGUGACGUACAAUUCGCACAUGCGGGUUUCCGGGAUGGAUCGGGUAGCGACAGGCGCUGUUGAGCUCAUGAUUCCACUAAACUCAGCUAGAUUUCUGAAUGAAGUUUUGUGUUAAACGGAAAAAUCAUUUAGGCAGAAGAAAGAAAGAAUCCUCUAAUACAGCCUUGACUUGAUAAAUGUUCGAUAGACUUAAACCUGCGAGAUCAGGGGGCGCUGACUCCUCCUAAAAGCGAGUUGCCACCUCAUGUUACCAGAAAGGAAGACGGAGUUCAACCUGAUCCAAGCUUCAAACCUCUGGCACGGCCUUGGCCUCCAGUUCCGCCUCUUACAACCAUCAAUAAAAGGAUCCAAACUUGGCACAGCGCUCAGAUUCUGCAGAUCGGGCCAACGAUUAACGCACAAGAGGCUCUCAGAGCGGCAGAAAUCCCCUCUCUGCUGCGCGGUGUCCUGUUACCCUGCACAAUUUUCAGGGGUUUUAGCGUCUUCCUGUGGAAAUCAAUAUAUUCUCUGUGGUAAAAAUGAUUCACGCUGAAGGUCCGACCAAAGCGAAUCCUCAGCACGGCGGCCACCCGCUGCUGCCCGCUGAAAGGACAUGCUUCAAAGUGUUCAUCCUCAGACCUUCAACCUCUCAGCCGGCAGGAAGCCAAACAACUUCCACUUCCUCUGGACAGAGAAGAUAUCAUCUGAGGUUCACUACAUCAUAUUUUUACCAGAUAAAUGCAGAGUUAAUGUCUAUAAAAUACUUCACAACCAUCUCUAUGAUUCUCUGGGACCUUAAAUCUGAUUCCUGCCAACAAAUCAGAACUUUUCUAUCGUUUUUACUCUUAAAAAACAACAAGAGGAAAUAUAAUAUAAUAGGAUAUCAUUUAAAUGGAUAACAACAUGAUAGCAUACGACAUAAGAUGAUACAAUAAACCACAAAAGAAACAAUAAAAUAUGAUUAAACCUAUAUUAAAAACAAUAUGGUAAUAAAAUAUGACAUGGUACAGUGCAAUUGACCCUUCGCGAAGUCCCGCCCCCCAUGGUUACAGUUGCUACGCCUGGCAAGCUUUCUUCGCCAGUUCUGCUUACAUGAAUUUCUCAGUGAUUUCGGGGGAAGGAUAUUCUGAAGUGAAUCGUGUCAAAUUUCUGGAGUAAUAGUUCGGAAAUAUAAGAGAGAAGUAGACAGAAAGGACUGCAAUAUGCAUCUGAGAAAUAUAUUUACAACACAAUUUGUUGGCGGGGUAAUGCUGACGAAGAGGACGUUAAAAUCGAGGCCGAGGCUCAUUGUUCAUAUUGCAAGAGUUGGCCACCCCACGUCUUGACAGUUCAUGUUCCAAACAAAUGUAUUUAAAGGAACAACAAUGUUCUUGCAUCGCAGGGUAAGUCAAUAUCUCACUUUAUUUUAAGCUAACUUUCAUUCAUGACUCCCUGUAAUUUUCUCUAUCAAAUAUGUUAGCCAGUUGCUAAAUGGUAUGUUUUCCAUUUUUUUUAUAGCGCAUCAGGAUAUUGUUCCCACAUCAUGAGUUUGAUCAAUAUAUUGGAUAUGAUAAAGGCACAUCAUAGCUGCUACUGGACUGGGAAACGCUGGCGUUGGUCACUCAUUCACAAAAUGCUGGAAUGCAAAAUCCGGUAUGUUGGUUUGGCCUCUAAAGGUACAAAACUACCCAUCUCGAUGUUAAAACAUCAGUAACUUUUCAUUAGUUUUGUACUACUGUCUUGUAGGGAACAACUGUGUGCUAGGUAGCGUUAGCAUGUUACCUUGGAACAAACAUAGUCGUUUUUCGUUAUCCUCGAUGGAUACAGCUGCGAGCGAGGUCUUCUGUGAGUGGGUUCUUGAUAUCUUUCAUCCGACUUGCAAGUCCUGUAAGGGAAAGCUUGCCAGGCGCUCCUCAUUAGUUACCAUUGCUAACGUAACGGUCAGUGGCGGAAAGAAGCAAAAUUGUAGGCGGAAACAAGAUGGCUACAUCUACGUAAGUUAUUUUAGCUCUUUCCUUGUCUGAAUGUAAGACAAGCGCUAAACUAACUUUUGUAGAUGUAGCCAUCUUGUUUCAGACCUCUGAUUUUGCUUUUUUCUGACUUGGUAACUGAAUCGCUGAGAACUUGGGUGUGACGUUACUUUCAGCUCCGACAUCUGACUUCUGAGGUAACUCCAACAAUAACACAAACUUAGAUACAAUACAGCACGACAAAUACACAAUGACAGGAUACACUUUUGUUGUGAUUUUAAGCCUUUUUAAAGUGUGUGGUGUUACUUUUUACACAGAUUUGCCAUCAUGUCAACUGCAGCCGACUCUGCCAUCUUCCUCAGGAGAGUCACAUGACGCUGUAAUAGAGGUUUGGUCGUCCUACCUGAAGCGCCAAGAUGACCACGCCCCCUGUUGUCCAAACAGCCUCUCAGGUGUGUUUCUUGUUUAUUGAUCCCUGUUGGCUCUUAAUACAGAGUUGCUCUCUUUGUGUCUCCUACGUAUAAUGGAGCAUACCAACAUUUAACAUGAACAUGCAGGACUCUCACUCAGUUUUAAAACGAUUGGAGCCGCAUCGACAGUCGUUAAAAUCACGUUAGCUCCUCCGAACGUGAGCUAGGAUGUUUGUGGUCUCGGCUCAGUUUGGUCCAAGAUGAAAGUCAACUUUAGAGUCCAGUAAAAGUUCAGAUCUUGGUCCAGGACGUGAAGGACCUCUGACUGCACGAGGUUAACACGUCCCAGGAGACACACACACACACACUCACACACACACUCUCACACACACACACACUUUAGCGUCCUAAUCCCCCCCGAAGCAGCAGCUUUAGUGUAACUCACGCCGCAGCUGUCCACGGCUGGAAGAAUCGAGAAAUUGUCCUGCACAUGUUCAGCUGCAGCAACAAAUGUCACGGAGCACGGCAGAUGAAAAGUCAAGAUGGAUGGAUGGAUGGGCUCCUGAUGCCAACACACACACACACACACACACACACACACACACACACACACACACAUGCCAGCGCUGGCUUGAUGAGUCAUGGAUAAGAAGGGCAGGUGAAGGCUGCCAGAGGUUUUAUAGUAGAGAGGAGUGUGUUUGUGUGUGUGUGUGUGUGUGUGUGUGUGUGUGUGUGUGUAGUUGGGGUCGAUGAGGUCGCGUGGCAUAAAUCAACACAGAGGUCAAAGGUCAAGAAAGAAUAAGUUGUGUCUAACCGAGUUGCUGGAUUUCGAUCAAUAAAUCCUCAAAAUUAAGAGAAAAGUUUGAUGAUUUUUAAAGUUUAAGGGUCCAAAUUUAGUGUUUAGUGACUCAACGAAGACUUUGAAGGAACGUAUGAAACUUAAUGCAACAUGUCUGUAAAUCUUUAAAUUAUUAAAACAUUUCCUCAUUAGGACAAUAAUUAGCUUUAUUUACACUAUAUAAGUUUGGAUCUUAAGGGCCUGUGUCCACUAGCAGCAUUUUCUGAAUCGGCCUGUUAUACUCGUCAACAUUUGGGUGAAUUCGGUCAGAGUUUCAUCUGCGUUUUUGUGUUGGUUUAGUCAAUAACCAGUCAGAGGAUCUCUGUUUUCAUUUUGGUCUCAUUUGAGUCAAAAGUUCUUCGUAAAGUUUUAUGACGUUGGUUGAAAGGAAGGAUACCUGCUGCUGCUGCUGCUGCUGCUGAUGGUCAUGCUGGUUUUUCUCCGUCACAGAGAUGCUUCACCGUCUAACCUUCAGACAGGUGCUCAGGUGUCUCUCUUCCCUCCUCCUGCUUCUUUUAACUCUGAUGAAACCUAAAGCUGGAGGGUGUGUCUGUCUGUGUGUGUAUACCUGUGUAGUCGUGUGUGCAUGUGUGUGUGUGUGUGUGCCCUACAUUCCCAGCAUGUCCGCGGUCUCACUGAGCAUUAGUAGACACAUUAACCGGCAUGCCGCAUGACUGAGGAGACAAACUGCAGUGUUUACUUCCACCUCAGGGGGGCAACAGUGAGCUGGUAGAGCAUCAAACUCUGAUUCAGUCACUACAGACUAAUUAAGUUAAAGUCGUAUCAAAGGAAAAGUUCCUCUUGUGUUCAGAUCAGGACUUGAAGUCAAAGAUUAACUUCCUCUCUAGUGUGAGUCUGCAGGAAAGUCUUGAAAUAAACCCGAUGUGCACUCUAAAGUGAGCAUCCUGCAGAAUUUCUAACAUCAUGUCUGCUGUUAAAGAAAUUUGGAGAAUAACUUCAGAUCUACAGGACGUAUUUUUUCCCUCAUGGCUGCAGAGGACUGUAGGAAACUCCUGCAGGUCUUGAUUCCCACAGAUUCCCCCCCGUCCUGGGCUAAAACUGUCCCUGCUCCAGAUACUGGGAGAUGAAUCCAGUCCAACAUGACAUGUGUUUCCAUGAUCCUCCUGUUGCUCUGCUGGAGAGUCGCUUUGGAUAAAGAGAGUCAGCAAAAUGCCUGAAAUGUAAAAUGAGAGAGCAGAUUAAACCAGAGCCAACUCCGGGGUCUCAAAUCAUCCCUCUGAGAGACGUUCAGGGGCCGCUUAAACCGUGGGACGACGGGCUGUUUGUGCAGGAUGGUGUGGUAAAAUGUCAGGAAGGAUUAGAAAGGCUUUUAUACUGUUAGGGCAAAUAAAUUAAUGAUACAAAGAGAAAAAAAUGACUUUAUAAUUUAAGUUUUGAGCCUUUAUAGGAGGAGACGGGACAGAGGACUGAGCAGGAAACACGGAAGGAGAUUUUAAAGGUCUGAAGAUCUGCUGUUUAAGACGAGAGGUGUUUUAAUAAUUUACUCUCUAUUUCAGGAUUCAACACUAUUUUCAGUCUAAAGUUAAAGAUAGUAGACAGAGAGGAAACAGAUAAAAUACCAGAAAUAGUCGGGCAGACCAGACCAGAGUUGGAUUACUUGAAAAAAAACAUGAAGUCACACCUUAAAAACCACAAACAAACGUCGUGAGUUCUGAUCUUUAAAGGGAUAUUUCAGUGUUUUUGUUCCUAGUAAGUGUUUUAACCACAAUUGAUGACGGUCAGCUCUGCUACAGCUUUCUGUAAACGUUUGUCAAAACUGAUAAAGAAGUUAAACCCAACAGAAUACAGCAGAGGACACCUGCUUUGUUAACCACACAUAAUCAACCUUCACUUAUAAUCCUUUGGCUGGAUCGUGUGUUUUGGAAAGAACAUACAAACAAAUGAAGUAUUUCUCCUUCCUGUCCAGCUGAACUCGGUGACGCAGCUCUCGCCCGAUGGAAGAUUCUCCGACCCUCACUCAGCUCUCGGGCUCUGCAUAAUCCACAUGAUCUCGUGGAUUCAUUAAACCGGUCCUGACGCAUGCUAUCCUGCAGACACAUACCCAGAGAAAGGUCUCAUGCCCUGGGCACGGGCGGCCUGGCCCUCAGUGACGCUCCGGACUAAAAUAGUGUCAUAAAGUCAUCCAUCAAAGAAGUGGGCCAAGGGUCAGCGAGGAGCUGGCAGCCGAGGGAAACCACAACGGGAACAUCCCAGAAUACUCCUGAAUUCACACCGCUCAAUAUUUAGACCCCAAAGUGUUUUUCCUUCCUGUGAUCAGGACUUUCUUUUUUCAGUUCCCGUCUCUAAAGGUCAGACCCUGAGUCUGCAGAAAGAGCAUUUCAAACAUUUAUAAUUACAUUUACUGGGAAUGUGGGCCGAG